Molecule: ribosomal RNA, 408 nt
Filed under: uncultured bacterium
Lineage: Bacteria
Description: partial 16S ribosomal RNA
Rfam family: Bacterial small subunit ribosomal RNA
Source: RNAcentral
GACGAACGCUGGCGGCGUGCUUAACACAUGCAAGUCGAACGAAGUGGCGAACGGGUGAGUAACGCGUAAUCAACCUGCCCUUCAGAGGGGGACAACAGUUGGAAACGACUGCUAAUACCGCAUACUGAAGGAGGGGAUUGCGUCGGAUUAGCUAGUUGGAGGGGUAACGGCCCACCAAGGCGAUGAUCAGUAGCCGGUCCGGGAGGGUGAAUCGCCACAUUGGGGAUUGUGCCCGGCCCAGAAUCCUACGGGAGGCAGGAGUGGGGAAUUUUUCGCAAAGGAGGAAAGUCUGACGGAGCAAAGCCGCGUGAGUGAUGACGGCCUUCGGGUUGUAAAGCUCUGUUAAUCGGGACGCGGUACCGGAAUAGAAAGCCACGGCUAACUACGUGCCAGCAGCCGCGGUAAUAC